CACACACAUUAGAGAGGUGUGUGUGGGCGAUGGAUUGAGCAGGGGAGAAGACAAACCCUAAAAACCACAAAAUUCCCCAAAUUGGAAGAGAAAAAUGAAGGUUUGAUGGAUGCAUGAGCUAUAUUCCCAACCAUCUACACAAGAUAAACACAUGCAUUAGGGAUCAUGUGGAAGUGGACUCAAGCACGAAAGACUAACGGGUCAAGAGGGGACAAGGAAGCCAAUGCGAAAAUGGACGCUCAAGGUAGUACGAGAUACGAAGGAUCUUCAAGGGAUAGAGAUCAAGGACCGAGUCACAAGACAGAUUGUACGGGAACGUUGGUGUUGAAAUUUAGAAAACCCAUGUCAUGUAUUUAAUUGUAAAUGAGUCGGUUGAUGACUUCAUGUGAAAAAGUUGUGUUAAAAUGAAAUUUUAAAUAA
Molecule: long non-coding RNA, 420 nt
Organism: Helianthus annuus (common sunflower)
Lineage: Eukaryota; Viridiplantae; Streptophyta; Magnoliopsida; Asterales; Asteraceae
Exons: 3
Source: RefSeq, a predicted model, not a curated record